AAAUGCGAUAAGUAAUGUGAAUGGCAGAAUUCAGUGAAUCAUCGAAUCUUUGAACGCACAUUGCGCCCGCCAGUAUUCUGGCGGGCAUGCCUGUUCGAGCGUCAUUUCAACCAUCAAGCCCCCGGCUUGUGUUGGGGACCUGCGGCUGCCCGCAGGCCCUGAAAAACAGUGGCGGGCUCGCUGUCACACCGAGCGUAGUAGCAUACAUUCUCGCUCAGGGCGUGCUGCGGGUUCCGGCCGUUAAACGACCUUCAUAACCCAAGGUUGACCUCGGAUCAGGUAGGAAGACCCUCUGAACUUCAGC
RNAcentral lists this unclassified non-coding RNA (304 nucleotides) under plant metagenome. RNAcentral describes it as "partial contains 5.8S ribosomal RNA, internal transcribed spacer 2, and large subunit ribosomal RNA". The stretch from base 1 to 104 matches the Rfam family "5.8S ribosomal RNA", at positions 51 to 154 of the family's 154-position model. The record is from RNAcentral.